Molecule: long non-coding RNA, 983 nt
Filed under: Capsella rubella
Lineage: Eukaryota; Viridiplantae; Streptophyta; Magnoliopsida; Brassicales; Brassicaceae
Description: long non-coding RNA (CRUB_LNC003677)
Source: RNAcentral
AAGAACUGUGACAAAACAGAAUCAAAGACAACGGACAAAGUCACAAAACAGAGUCUGAAUCCAUGAGAACACUAAUUAUAUUUUAUUACCAUGCAUGUCUUAAUCUGGCAACAUAAUUCUAAAUAAGGUUAUGUUAAAUAAACACAUGACAUCAAGAAACCUCUGCAUCCAUCGCUCUUGCUUCACUGUUGCACUUGCACAAAGAGGAAUAGUUAACAAAGCUCAGCAGUCAGCAAGUUAGCAACAAUAUCACAAAAGGUAUAUAAAAAAAAAAACAAAAAAAAACAGAGCUAAUUAAGUUAGCAACACUAAAAUCAAGGUUACAUACAUGCUUCGAUUCUUUUUAAUUCCAGAGGAAAACUUUCACAGUUCUACUUACUAGCUUCAGAAAAUUUAUCACGUAUAUUCUCAAUCAAAUAAACUAUUACACAAGAAAUUAUAUGCUCAAUAUCAUCUCAUGGGAAAUGUAACAGGGGAAAUUUGGUUUCCUAAGGAUUUUGUGCAAAGAUGGGAACUUGAAGCUGCCAAGAACAUUCAAGAUGUUUUUUUUUUGAUACAACUCAAUCUUCAUACUAAACUCUCAUGAUCUCAUCACAUAGACAAUAAUUAAUCAAAUCAAUCAUUAUUAUGUAAUUAGUUAUCUAACUUAUCAUCAAGAAAAUAUAGGAAACUAGCUAUAUGACAUUACUAUUACUAAAAAAAUCCAAUGCAAUCACCAAAGUCUCAUGAUACUAAUUAACUUCUCAAACUCAAUAAGCGAAUUGAAAGAAAGAGAGACUCAGUUAGCACAAUUGACUGAUCUGAAAAAUCAAAAUAUUUGAAUGGAAACUUAGAGGUCGAUCAUGAGCUCUUCCUUGGAACGAACCAGACGCCAAAUAAAGCAGCUUGGCUCUUCAAUUCCUUGAGAGCCACGGCUUUGUCUGGAUUUUGCAUGGAACAUUCCUGGAAACACGUCUCUCUCUGCGCUCUCUUUUCCAAAACCC